This 1588-nucleotide ribosomal RNA is filed under the name Prioniturus luconensis. RNAcentral's name for it is "16S ribosomal RNA". The record is from RNAcentral. Lineage: Eukaryota; Metazoa; Chordata; Aves; Psittaciformes; Psittacidae.
AACCGUUUUCGGGGGGAAGGGUGUGUGAUCCUUUGGUGAUUUAGUUGGGGGCAUCACUUGAGGAGAGGGCGUGCUUGGGGUAUUGGCCCUGUCUUUCCGGUCCUUUCGUACUAGGAGAGACUGGUCAUAGAUAGAAACCGACCUGGAUUACUCCGGUCUGAACUCAGAUCACGUAGGACUGUUAAUCGUUGAACAAACGAGCCCUUAGUAGCGGCUGCACCACUAGGAUGUCCUGAUCCAACAUCGAGGUCGUAAACCUCCUCGUCGAUAGGGGCUCUUGGGGGAGAUUGCGCUGUUAUCCCUGGGGUAGCUUGGUCCAUUAGUCAAUUUUAUUGGGUCUGGGUACUGUUAGUACGUUGAGGGGUUGCUCUUGGUUAAGGGGUUUGGCCUUGUUUUUGGAGGAUCUGUUUUUCUCCAGGGUCGCCCCAACCUAAAAAUAUUAGCCAGUGUUUGGGGUUCAGUGGGCCUGGUAGGUUUAGGUUGUGAUGUGUGGUGGCUAUUGAUUUUAAAGUUCCACAGGGUCUUCUUGUCUUAUGUAUUUAUCCCUGCUUUUGCACGGGGAGAUCAGUUUCACUGAUUAUCUGCAGGAGACAGUUAAGACCUCGUUUAGCCAUUCAUACAAGUCUCGAUUUAUGGGACAAUUGAUUGCGCUACCUUUGCACGGUUAGGAUACCGCGGCCGUUAAACAUGGUGUCACUGGGCAGGCAUCACCUUUAAUACUUGUUUGGCUAAAGGCUAUGUUUUUGGUAAACAGUCGGGCCUUGGGUUUGCCGAGUUCCUUUUGCAGAUUUUAAUCGUCCUAGUAUGCGCUCCUGGGUUGGGUUGACAGGGUGAGUUCAAUGUUUGGUCGAGGUGGGGGGGGGGGGUAUUGUGGUUGUGCUGUUAAUGGUGUACAGGCUGGCGCUUAAGGGGAUGGGUAUCCUGGUUACUCGUUCUAGCAUUGGUUCGUCUAUUGUUAUAGAUUGGCCUGUUGAAGGUGUAGGGAGUCAUGUUGUUUUUAGAUUUUUUUUGUUGGGAGCUUUGACGCAUUCUUUGGUGAUGGCUGCUUUAAGGCCUACAGGAUAUGGGGUGGUUGGAGUUAGUUUAUCCGCUGGUGGAGGUUGUGUCCUUUGUUAAAGGGGCUGUACCCCCUUUAAGUAGCUCUUAGUCUACUACAUGGAAGUUUUGGGUUGGUUCAUCUGGGUGGAGGGGGACUAAGGGGGAACUUAGGUUCGUUUUACAGGCAACCAGCUAUCACCCAGCUCGGUUGGCUUUUCACCUCUACUAACAAGUCUUCCCACUCUUUUGCAACAGAGAAGGGUUGGCUCUGGGUAGCUGCUUGUGAGUAGCUCGCUUAGGUUUCGGGGUGGCAGGCUUAAGUUCUCUUUGUCUGGUUGUUCUUGCUAGAUCAUGAUGCGAAAGGUACAAGGGUUUAUCUUUGCUAUGUGGUGCUUGAGUUUUCAUUGUUAUUUCAUCUUUCCCUUACGGUACUUUAUCUAUAGCGCCCAGAGGUUGUACUUUUCUAUCACUUAUACUUGGCUUGGGGGAAAUGUUUUGGUUAGGUGUAGUAGUGGGUUCUUGGUUAUAGUUGGUGGGGCUAGGGUAGGCU